Pelobates cultripes (western spadefoot toad) is the source of this 216-nucleotide non-coding RNA. The record is from the annotation of a GenBank genome assembly. NCBI's taxonomy places the organism in Eukaryota, Metazoa, Chordata, Amphibia, Anura, Pelobatidae.
AUUUUAGUCAACUAAAAUCUUUUGAGAUUUAGUCAACUAAAACUAAAACAAUUCAGAGGACUAAAAUACGACUAAAACUAAAAUUUUUUUUUUUUUUUAGUCAAAAGACUAUGACUAAAACUAAAUUGAAAUUUGCUGCCAAAAUUAACACUGCACAGAGGGGGAGUGGAAGGGGCAAAAGAGACAGACCAGGACUUAGUAGAGAGAUACCUAGAG